Molecule: non-coding RNA, 44 nt
Organism: Schistosoma margrebowiei
Lineage: Eukaryota; Metazoa; Platyhelminthes; Trematoda; Strigeidida; Schistosomatidae
Source: Rfam
AGAAACUGACGAGUCCCAAACAGGACGAAACGCGCGUCCUGGAU